This 657-nucleotide ribosomal RNA is filed under the name uncultured Burkholderia sp. Its description in RNAcentral is "bacterial SSU rRNA". It matches the Rfam family "Bacterial small subunit ribosomal RNA", at positions 67 to 719 of the family's 1533-position model. The record is from RNAcentral. Lineage: Bacteria; Pseudomonadati; Pseudomonadota; Betaproteobacteria; Burkholderiales; Burkholderiaceae.
CGGCAGCACGGGGGCAACCCUGGUGGCGAGUGGCGAACGGGUGAGUAAUACAUCGGAACGUGUCCUGUAGUGGGGGAUAGCCCGGCGAAAGCCGGAUUAAUACCGCAUACGCUCUACGGAGGAAAGGGGGGGAUCUUAGGACCUCUCGCUACAGGGGCGGCCGAUGGCAGAUUAGCUAGUUGGUGGGGUAAAGGCCUACCAAGGCGACGAUCUGUAGCUGGUCUGAGAGGACGACCAGCCACACUGGGACUGAGACACGGCCCAGACUCCUACGGGAGGCAGCAGUGGGGAAUUUUGGACAAUGGGGGAAACCCUGAUCCAGCAAUGCCGCGUGUGUGAAGAAGGCCUUCGGGUUGUAAAGCACUUUUGUCCGGAAAGAAAUCCUCUUCGAUAAUACCGAGGGGGGAUGACGGUACCGGAAGAAUAAGCACCGGCUAACUACGUGCCAGCAGCCGCGGUAAUACGUAGGGUGCAAGCGUUAAUCGGAAUUACUGGGCGUAAAGCGUGCGCAGGCGGUUCGCUAAGACAGAUGUGAAAUCCCCGGGCUUAACCUGGGAACUGCAUUUGUGACUGGCGGGCUAGAGUAUGGCAGAGGGGGGUAGAAUUCCACGUGUAGCAGUGAAAUGCGUAGAGAUGUGGAGGAAUACCGAUGGCGAA